CCGCACAUGCUCAAAUGGCCUCUGAGAGGCCCUAGUCUAGUUUUUUCCUUGAUCUAAGGAGUCAGAAGAAUGAACCCGAGCAUUUAAAAAACAGAUACAGAUGGCACAAAAAAAGGGCGAAGUGUCCUGAUGAACCAGACAGUGGAUCUGCCUAACAAAUUAAUGCCAGGAGGUUAAACCUGGCAACUUCUCCAAGAAUGGCAGCGUGAGGAGAAGAAGAGGUUAGCAGCAACAAGGAACAGACAACACAGCUGGUUUGCUGCUUCAGCAUCUCUUACAAGAAAAUCAUAUGCGGAGCCAAAUAAUAGGACUAUCAAAGCUGGAAAGUCCAAUGGAACUGUGAUAGAGAAUUCCUACCAUCAACUGUACCUCCACCAUGCUUGAGGUAAAGGGAAGUAAGAGAAUUCCUGCAAGCAUCCAAAAGCAAGGGAAAAUAGGUGGAUGUCAGCUGGAGAAAUUAACUAUGCUGAUCAUUAGUGGAAGCACUUGGGCCCAGAGAGAGAAUGAUAUUCUGCCUUCCUGCACAGACUUGAUUUCUACAUGCAAAAACAUUUUUAUUAAUAUUUGUGAUUUAUUAUACAUUCAUGCCAAUUUCCAUAUUUGUCCAUGUCAAGAAAGCAUUAACACUGAGUUUUUCACAAAUUAUGUUACAUAAGAGUAAGCCCAUUGGAAAUAAUGAGCUUAAUCUUGUGUAACUGUGCCAUCAGUUUUAUAGGCGAUAUUAUUUUAUUUCUACAUGGGAAUCCUUUUCUAAAAAAUCAGUAUUUAGGAUUCCACAACAUUCAUGCUAAAUGAGUGAACAAUACCAUCCACUACCUUCCCCACUAUUCGCACAGGAAGGAGAAAGGGAAUGCCGCUUUGAGACGGUAUAAAACCAAAGAGGGGAACUCCAGUACAGAGAAGGCAGCAGCUUUUGAGCAAGGAGCUCUCCACAGGGUGUGGUGCUGAAAUCAGACUGGAGCAAAGUUCCUCCAGGGCUACAUACUUCUCAGUGUUGGUCUGGAGCAGCAUCACUCCAGGAUCCAUACCCUGAAAGAAAAUACCCAGGGAACUCUAGAAUCAUAAUAUAGGCAGUGUUCCCUCCAACAGGGAUUCCCAGACAUUGUUGACUACAACUCCCAUAAUCCCCAAGCAAAGGCUAUUGCAGCUGGGGAUGCUGGGAGUUGUAGCCAACAACAUAUGGGAAUCCCUGUUUGAAGGAACACUGAAUAUGGGACCUCAAACAGUUGAGGAUUAGAAAUAGAGGUACCAACUCACUCCAUCAUUCCCUCCCUUCUUUCAAGAAGAGGUGAUGAGUACAAGAAGUCUUGUGCGGUGUCAUUUAUGUAUCUAAAGAAUUUCAGGAUUUGGCCUGAUAAAAAUUGCAUUAAGAUUGUCUAUAUUUGAAUUUUUUCCUCUGUCAGUUUAAAGAUGGAAUAAAACACGGUAGCCCUAUUCUAUUAUUCCUUACAGUAGCAAUUCCAAUUCUUGCUACCCACUAUUGCAAAACGUACCUUUUCCCCAGGCAAUUCCUCAAUGUUGGUGGGAAGCACAGACUGCACUCCCACACGAUCCACAAUGCUGCACGCAGCAUGGAUUUCUGGAGGCUGAGACAACCAGCCACCAUGUAUCCCACAAUGCACUGUGCGAUGAGCACAUUGCUCUAUGUUUUAUUUGUGCAGAUUAAGAGUGGGGGGAUAGGGAACUUUAUAAAUUGCAUAUUUUGCAAAUUCUGAUCUCCUUUUCUGCCCUCCUUGCCCCUUUCUUUCCUCUGUCUUAUCGAUAUUUAAAUUGUAAGCCUUCAAGCAUGGAUUUGAUUCAUUAAAACAAUAACAACACCCUAUUUAGUGCUUAGAUUUGCUUUAAGUGCAACAGGUCAGCUGAUGGAAUGUUCAGGUAACCCUGGAAAAUAUCUGCUGGCUACUGUGGCAGUUAGAGCCAAAUCUUUUGUGUCCGGUUAUUGCUGUUCACUUGUUUAGCUUGACGACAGUGUCCUCUGUUAUGGGGUAAAGUGUCCUAUUCAUUUCACUGUGUGUUUUGAAUGCUCAAACAGAUAAGAACAUAAGGGUCUUGCUGGACUCUAAUCCAGCAUCCUGCUUCCCACAGUGGCUCUGGGAAGCCCACAAAUAGGAGAGGAAGGCAUGCCCCUUCUCCUGCCAUGGCUUCCCCUGCAACUGGUAUUCAGAGGCAUCCUGCCUCUCAAACUGGGGGCAGCCUAUAGCCUUCAAGACUAGUAGCCAUUAAUCGUCAUCCUCCAAGAAUUUAUCUAAGCCCCUUUUAAAGUCAUCCAAGCUGGUGCUAUCACCACAUCCUGUGGUAGAGAAUUCCAUAGAUUAAUUAUGCACUGUGAGAAAAGUACAACACAGUCUCAAAGCCAAUGUGGAUGGGGAUGAUGGGACUUGUAGUCCAGCAUAUGAGGGCCCUGGUUUGAGACCCCUGUGUUAGGGCACUUCCACAAUAGAAAGCUGAAAUCUGGUGAGUAUAUAGUCCUAGAGACAGCCAUAAGGAUGUGGGAUAAAGAUAUGCUCCCACGGGGGAUAUUCCUGAUCCUUAUACCUCAGGAAAGCUAAUGUAACAACUGUAGUUAUUGCUGGAUUACCUGUACUACAAAACUUCUGCCAUGUAUCACUCAUUCUUCCCAUGCCAUCCAGUUAUGAGCAAAGGCUGGCAGUCUGCAAGAUUCUAGAUCUAUGCUACAUUUGUGAGAUUAGAGAGUUAGGCCCUGAAUAGGGACCGCCUGCUCCCAAGGGUUUCUGCCCGCUCAACGAGGUCAUCAGAGGUCAUCAAAUCUAACUUGUAAAUUAGAUUUGUAUUUAUUUUAUUUAGCAAGUCUCUGUGUUUGUUUGUUUUUUGCAAACUGGUUUUAUG
Long non-coding RNA from Hemicordylus capensis (graceful crag lizard), 2847 nucleotides. RefSeq lists it as uncharacterized. NCBI's taxonomy places the organism in Eukaryota, Metazoa, Chordata, Lepidosauria, Squamata, Cordylidae. The record is from RefSeq and is a predicted model, not a curated record. The transcript is spliced from 3 exons.